RNAcentral lists this ribosomal RNA (744 nucleotides) under uncultured eukaryote. Its description in RNAcentral is "SSU rRNA". It matches the Rfam family "Eukaryotic small subunit ribosomal RNA", at positions 668 to 1426 of the family's 1831-position model. The record is from RNAcentral.
GGUGUGCACCUGUCGUGUCCGGGUCUACCUUCUGGGUUUCAAUCUAUAGUGCUCUUAACCCGGGUGCUAUAGAAUGCCAGAAAGUUACUCUGAAAAAAUUAGAGUGCUUAAAGCAAGCCGUGUGCUUGAAUACUGUUGCAUGGAAUAAUGGAAUAGGACCCGGAUCUAUUUUGUUGGUUUUCGGAGUCGAGGUAAUGAUUAAGAGGGACAGACGGGGGCAUUCGUAUUGCGCCGUUAGAGGUGAAAUUCUUUGGAUCGGCGCAAGACGAACAACUGCGAAAGCAUUUGCCAAGGAUGUUUUCAUUAAUCAAGAACGAAAGUCAGAGGUUCGAAGACGAUCAGAUACCGUCGUAGUUCUGACCAUAAACGAUGCCAACUGGCGAUCCGCCGUAGUCUGGCUUAAAGGACUCGGCGGGCAGCCUCCGGGAAACCUAAGUCUAUGGGUUCCGGGGGAAGUAUGGUUGCAAAGCUGAAACUUAAAGGAAUUGACGGAAGGGCACCACCAGGAGUGGAGCCUGCGGCUUAAUUUGACUCAACACGGGAAAACUCACCCGGCCAGGACACCGUAAGGAUUGACAGACUGAGAGCUCUUUCUUGAUUCGGUGGGUGGUGGUGCAUGGCCGUUCUUAGUUGGUGGAGCGAUUUGUCUGGUUAAUUCCGAUAACGAACGAGACUCUAGCCUGCUAAAUAGACGGGCGAUCCCAUUGUGGGUCGACCCGAUCAGCUUCUUAGAGGGACAAGUGG